AUAAGGACCUGGCAGGGGAGAUACUAUGAUCACAAAGGUGGUUUCUACAGGGCGUGGUCUAUUCAUUGUACUCUAAAUGUUUUGACCCCUGCACCCCCCCGAUAUGGGAAACUUGACUGUAUAAUUUGUGGAAAUGGGGAGCCGCAUAACUGCUAAGCCACC
Chionomys nivalis (European snow vole) is the source of this 162-nucleotide small nuclear RNA. RefSeq annotates it as U1 spliceosomal RNA. The transcript has a single exon. The record is from RefSeq and is a predicted model, not a curated record. Lineage: Eukaryota; Metazoa; Chordata; Mammalia; Rodentia; Cricetidae.